AUUAGAGUUUGAUCCUGGCUCAGAAUAAACGCUGGCGGCGUGCCUAACACAUGCAAGUCGAGCGAGAACAGGAACUUCGGUUCCCUAGUACAGCGGCGCACGGGUGAGUAACACGUGGGUAAUCUGCCCCGGAGCGGGGAAUAACAUCGGGAAACCGGUGCUAAUACCGCAUACGAUCACAGGAGCUUCGGAAUCUGUGAUGAAAGGCUUCGGCCACUCUGGGAGGAGCCCGCGCCCGAUUAGCUAGUUGGUGAGGUAACUGCUCACCAAGGCAACGAUCGGUAGCCGGUCUGAGAGGACGGUCGGCCACACUGGAACUGAGACACGGUCCAGACUCCUACGGGAGGCAGCAGUGGGGAAUUUUUGACAAUGGGGGAAACCCUGAUCAAGCAACGCCGCGUGGAUGAUGAAGUACCUCGGUACGUAAAAUCCUUUCGACAGGGAAGAAGCCUUCGGGUUGACGGUACCUGUAGAAGAAGCCCCGGCUAACUCCGUGCCAGCAGCCGCGGUAAUACGGGGGGGGCAAGCGUUGUUCG
This 536-nucleotide ribosomal RNA is filed under the name uncultured bacterium. RNAcentral's name for it is "bacterial SSU rRNA". It matches the Rfam family "Bacterial small subunit ribosomal RNA", at positions 1 to 547 of the family's 1533-position model. The record is from RNAcentral.